Long non-coding RNA from Engraulis encrasicolus (European anchovy), 2201 nucleotides. RefSeq lists it as uncharacterized. Lineage: Eukaryota; Metazoa; Chordata; Actinopteri; Clupeiformes; Engraulidae. The record is from RefSeq and is a predicted model, not a curated record. The transcript has 3 exons.
GUGUGCUUUUCAAGAGCUUCUCAUCCUGCCCUGAAGAUGAUUUACCCGACUUGCGCUAUGCUGACAUCCACAGCUAUCUGGUGAACUUCCCAUCCGUUUACUCUGGGGACUCACUCAGAGCGUAUAAAAGCUUGGAGGCGUAUAAAUGGUGUCAGUCCGGCUUCGUCACGCACAUUCAGCUGUGGAGUCUUGCAUCCAAAAACUGCGGCAUCAUCACUGCAAGGGUAAGUAUUAAAUUAUCAGUCAGUGUCAAUUAGUCAGUGUCAGUUAGCAUUGUUUGUUUAUUAGCUUGGCUAGCUGCAGCAGUGUCACAGUAGCCUACCAUGUUUGAUUAUCUUGGGUAGCUACUGCAAUGCAUAUGUAACUUGCUAAGUUUGUAUUUUCUAACGUACUCAACCAAAGAGGAUGGGGUUUUCAACCUGUAGUUAUAUAAAUAUAUAUAUUUUAAUUUCAUAGGUUAAUCACUCCCAACGGCUGAAUGACAGUCAGCUAAAGCCAUGGGCGGUGGUGAGGAACGACGGUGUUGUGUUAGGCGCACACUGCAACUGUACAGCGGGACUCGGGGAGAGCUGCUCUCAUGUGUCAGCUGUGCUCUUCAGACUGUGGGAGAAAAACAACGCAAGGCACGAAGAGAUCAGCUGCACGUCUAAAAAAUGCAAGUGGGCCUCUCCCAGUGAGGAUGCUGCGAAGAAUGUGGUGUACCAGCAGGGCAAGGACAUCAUAUUCAACAGCAGUCAACAAAAUAAGAAGGGUAAUUCCACCAAGGGUACCUCUGCGCCACCAUCUUUCCCACCCCUGACUGCUGCCGAGCAAGCUCAACUCUACAAGAACCUUUCUCAGUGCCACACUCAAGAUGGGAAAUCCUGCAGACCUGCCGUCCUGUCAGUUGUUCCCGGGUAUGCCACAUCUUAUGUACCCAAGGCUGUCAAGCUGGAUUUACCCGAACCCCUCACCAGUUUGUACGACAAGAAGGCAAGAGACCUGAGCCUGGCUGAGCUACAAGAACAGGCAGAAGGAAUAUUUGAUGACUUGGCUGUCACUGAAGAACAGAGUGAUAUUGUAGAGGAGGAGACCCAAGCUCAGUCCAAAUCCAGAAUUUGGUACGAUCAGAGGAGUGGUAGGGUGACAGGAUCUACCUUCAGAGCAGCAACCAGAACAGACAUCAGAAAGCCAGCAGUGUCUCUCAUGAGACAGAUUUGUUACCCAAAGUCCCAUGUUUUCACCAGUGAGGCUACCAGAUGGGGAUGCAAGAAUGAAGAACUGGCCAGAAGUUAUUACGAAAUGCAGCAUCGACUAUCACACACAGAUGUCCUGGUGCGACCAGCCGGAUUCAGAAUUUCUACUCAGCACCCAUUUAUCGGGGCCUCACCUGAUGGGUAUGUGUCCUGUAGCUGCUGUGGCACAGGGGUAAUAGAAAUCAAAUGCCCAUUUUCAGCAAAGGACCUGUCUGUGAGUGAAGCUGUAAAUUCUGUUGGACACUUUUGCCUAGAAAAAAAUGUUGAAGGAAAAAUUGAAGUCAAGCGAGACCAUCCAUACUUCUACCAAGUCCAGAUGCAGCUAUUUGUCACAAAAUGUGAUUACUGUGAUUUUAUUCUGUGGACGGAAAAGGAACUCUUUGUAGAACGCAUUGCAUUCGACUCAGAAUUCUUUCAAGUACAACUUGAACUCGCUCGUGCCUUCUUCACAAAAUGUAUUAUCCCAGAGUUGUUAGGAAAAUGGUUUUCUGCACCUAAACAACCAACUGCUGACUCCGAUCCCCAGCAACAGUGGUGCUACUGCCGUGCACCUGCGGCAGGGAACAUGCUCGUUUGUGCCUCAGGGUUCUGUGCCGUGAAGAGGUUCCACCAAACCUGCCUCCAGCUGAAAAGGGUACCAAAACAGUGGCUGUGUCCAAGCUGUAGGAAACUACUCAAUGCCCAAAAAAACCCCUUAAUUACUUAGUCUUACUAACUUGUUCCGAUGUACUCAUGGUUGCACAGUAAGAAGAUAAUAAAAAGAAUUGUAUGUGUAAUAGCUGUGUCCUCCUUUAUCAUCCAGAACCUGUCGGGGAAAAUUGUGUUUUAACAUCUGGGUUGUCUCACCCUUUAAUGAGACUAGCAUAGUCACCUUUUAAAACCUGAUUGAGUAAAAGGUUGAAAUCUUGGUAAACGCAAUGCCACAAUGUUGUUCUCUUCUGUCUGUAGUAGUAUCUGUGACAAGCA